AUAUAAAUCAGUUACAGCCAUCGGUGAAUGCCUUGGCGUCAACAGGCGAUGAAGGACGCAGUAAGCUGCGAUAAGCUUCGGGGAGCGGCAAACACGCUUUGAUCCGGAGAUUUCCGAAUGGGGCAACCCGGCAUCCUUUACAGGGUGUCACCACAACCCAAAUAAAUAAGGUUGUGCGUGCAAUACGUGGAGAAGUGAAACAUCUCAGUAUCCACAGGAAAAUAAUGAGAAUCGAUUCCGUAAGUAGUGGCGAGCGAAAGCGGAACAGCCCAAACCAUCGAGAUUUAUCUCGGCGGGGUUGUAGGACCACAAUGUAGACUAGAUGAAGUUAGGGUAACGCUCUGGAAAGUGCGACUAAAAAGGGUGAUAGUCCCGUGCCCGAAAACUUUAUCUUACUUAGUGGAAUCCUGAGUAGCACCGGACACGUGAAAUCCGGUGUGAAUCCAUGCCGACCACGGCAUAAGGCUAAAUACUCGUUGACGACCGAUAGUGAACUAGUACCGCGAGGGAAAGGUGAAAAGCACCCCUGUUAGGGGAGUGAAAUAGUAACUGCAACCGAUGGCUAACAAGUCAGUGGGAGCACCUUUAUGGUGUGACCGCCUGCCUUUUGUAUAAUGAGUCUGCGAGUUAUUGCCCGUAGCAAGCAUAAGCCGCUAAGCGGUGUAUGCGUAGCGAAAGCGAGUCCAAAUAGGGCGACAUAGUUGCUGGCAAUAGACCCGAAGGGGAGGUGAUCUAACCAUGGCCAGGAUGAAGCUUCGGUAAAACGAAGUGAAGGUCCGAACCGGUCAACCUUGAGAAGUUGUCGGAUGAGCUGUGGUUAGGAGCGAAAGACUAAUCAAACCCCCUGAUAGCUGGUUCUUUCCGAAAUAUAUUUGGGUAUAGCGUCGGAUGCUGACUUGCGGAGGUAGAGCACUAAAUAAGCUAGGGCCCCUACCGGGGUACUGAACUUAAUUAAACUCCGAAUACCGCAGGGUGAAGUCCGGCAGUCAGACAGUGGGGGCUAACCUCCAUUGUCGAGAGGAGAAUAAUCCAGACCAUCAGUUAAGGUCCCAAAAUACGGCUCAGUGUAAAAGGAUGUGAAUUUACUUAGACAAUGGGGAUGUUGGCUUAGAGGCAGCCAUCAUUUAAACAGUGCGUAACAGCUGACCCAUCGAGUGAAUUUGCGCCGAAAAUGAUCGGGACUUAAGCCGUAUACCGAAGCUAUGGCUUUGCCGCAAGGCAAGGAGUAGGAAAGCGUUCCAAGUGCAGCGAAGCAGAAGGGUAACCAACUGUGGAGCGCUUGGAAGUGAGAAUGCAGACAUAAGUAACGAUAAAGAUGGUUAAAUUCCAUCUCGCCUUAAUUCCAAGGUUUCCUGGGGAAGGCUCGUCCUCCCAGGGUUAGUCGGGUGCUAAGAUGAGGCCGUAAGGAGUAUUCGAUGCCAAGCAGGUUUAAUAUUCCUGCACCACCAUUGAUAUGUUCGACCUAAGGAGUGACGGAGAAGGUUAGUACAGCAACGUGUUGAAUCGUUGUCCAAGUUGUUAGGUUCGCCGGGGAUAAAAGACCGGCUCAAGCUGAUCAACGAUGGGAUUCCAAAGCUACGGCUAAGGGAGAUUGUCCGAUACCAUGCUUCCAAGAAAAACUUCGUAGUUAGUAUCAAGGGUGCCCGUACCGUAAACCGACACAGGUGGAAUAGAUGAGUAUUCUAAGGCGCGCGAGUGAAAUCUCUCUAAGGAACUCGGCAAAUUGAUCCCGUAUCUUUGGUAUAAGGGAUGCCCCGCGAGGGGUCGCAGAUAAGAGCGUCAACCGACUGUUUAGCAAAAACACAGCUCUCUGCUAAGACGUAAGUCGAUGUAUAGGGAGUGACACGUGACCAAUGCGGAAAGGUGAAAGCGUAGGGUGCAAGCUCUGCGUCUAAGCCCCCGUGAAUGUCGGCCGUAACUAUAACGGUCCUAAGGUAGCGAAAUUCCUUGUCGGGUAAGUUCCGACCCGCACGAAUCGUGUAACGAGUUGACGACUGUCUCGGAGAGAAGCUCGGUGAAAUUGUAGUGGCGGUGAAGAUGCCGCCUACCCGCAGCAGGACGGAAAGACCCUAUGCACCUUUACUGUAAGCUGUUAUUGUCGCUUGACUUCCAAUGCGUAGAAUAGGUGGGAGACUUUGAAGCUUGGUUUCAGGACCGAGCUGAGUCGCAAUAUGAAAUACCACUCUUUGUUGGUUAGGCGUCUAACCUUUAGCCAUAAUCUGGCAAAGGGACCGUGAUAGCAGGUCAGUUUUUCUGGGGCGGAAUCCUCCCAAAAAGUAACGGAGGAUUACGAAGGUUCCCUCGGCCCGGUCGGUAAUCGGGCUAUAGAGCGCAUGAGUAUAAGGGAGCUUAACUGUGAGACCAACAAGUCGAUCAGAUGCGAAAGCAGGUUCAAGUGAUCCGGUGGUUGAAUGUGGAAUCGCCAUCGCUCAUAGGACAAAAGGUACGCUAGGGAUAACAGGCUGAUCGCGCCCAAGCGUUCACAGCGACGGCGCGGUUUGGCACCUCGAUGUCGGCUCAUCACAUCCUGGGGCUGGAGAAGGUCCCAAGGGUUCGGCUGUUCGCCGAUUAAAGUGGUACGCGAGCUGGGUUCAGAACGUCGUGAGACAGUUCGGUCCUCUAUCCGCUGUGGGCGUUUGUGAUUUGAGGGGUUCAUUCUCUAGUACGAGAGGACCGAGAAUGACGAACCGCUGGUGUUCCGGUUGUCGCGUCAGCGGCAGCGCCGGGUAGCUAUGUUCGGAAGGGAUAAGCGCUGAAAGCAUCUAAGCGCCAAGCCCAUCCCAAGAUAAGAUCACAAUCUGUCGCAAGACAGUGCAGGGUCCGGGUAGACCACCCGGUUGAUAGGGCAGAAAUGCAAGCGCAGCAAUGCGUUCAGUUUACUGCUACUAAUGACCCUGCGGAUUUAUAAUA
Verrucomicrobia bacterium IMCC26134 is the source of this 2910-nucleotide ribosomal RNA. It matches the Rfam family "Bacterial large subunit ribosomal RNA". The record is from Rfam. NCBI's taxonomy places the organism in Bacteria, Pseudomonadati, Verrucomicrobiota.